Molecule: long non-coding RNA, 1555 nt
Organism: Callithrix jacchus (white-tufted-ear marmoset)
Lineage: Eukaryota; Metazoa; Chordata; Mammalia; Primates; Cebidae
Source: Ensembl
AUGUGGAGGCUGGAGUUUGGGAGGCAGUGUGAGGAGGUGGAGACAUUGUGCAGUCGCUGUGGAGGCUGGAGUUUGGGAGGCAGUGUGAGGAGGUGGAGAUAUUGUGCAAUCCCUUUGGAUGCUGGAGUUUGGGAGGCAGUGUGAGGAGGUGGAGACAUUGUGCAAUCCCUUUGGAUGCUGGAGUUUGGGAGGCAGUGUGAGGAGGUGGAGACAUUGUGCAGUCCCUUUAGAAGCUGGAGUUUGGGAGGCAGUGUGAGGAGGUGGAGACAUUGUGCAGUCCCUUUAGAAGCUGGAGUUUAGGAGGCAGUGUGAGGAGGUGGAGACAUUGUGCAGUCCCUUUAGAAGCUGGAGUUUGGGAGGCAGUGUGAGGAGGUGGAGACAUUGUGCAGUCCCUUUAGAAGCUGGAGUUUGGGAGGCAGUGUGAGGAGGUGGAGAUAUUGUGCAAUCCCUUUGGAUGCUGGAGUUUGGGAGGCAGUGUGAGGAGGUGGAGACAUUGUGCAGUCCCUUUAGAAGCUGGAGUUUGGGAGGCAGUGUGAGGAGGUGGAGAUAUUGUGCAAUCCCUUUGGAUGCUGGAGUUUGGGAGGCAGUGUGAGGAGGUGGAGACAUUGUGCAGUCCCUUUAGAAGCUGGAGUUUGGGAGGCAGUGUGAGGAGGUGGAGACAUUGUGCAGUCUCUUUAGAAGCUGGAGUUUGGGAGGCAGUGUGAGGAGGUGGAGACAUUGUGCAGUCCCUUUAGAAGCUGGAGUUUGGGAGGCAGUGUGAGGAGGUGGAGAUAUUGUGCAAUCCCUUUGGAUGCUGGAGUUUGGGAGGCAGUGUGAGGAGGUGGAGACAUUGUGCAGUCCCUUUAGAAGCUGGAGUUUGGGAGGCAGUGUGAGGAGGUGGAGAUAUUGUGCAAUCCCUUUGGAUGCUGGAGUUUGGGAGGCAGUGUGAGGAGGUGGAGACAUUGUGCAGUCCCUUUAGAAGCUGGAGUUUGGGAGGCAGUGUGAGGAGGUGGAGAUAUUGUGCAAUCCCUUUGGAUGCUGGAGUUUGGGAGGCAGUGUGAGGAGGUGGAGACAUUGUGCAGUCCCUUUAGAAGCUGGAGUUUGGGAGGCAGUGUGAGGAGGUGGAGACAUUGUGCAGUCCCUUUAGAAGCUGGAGUUUGGGAGGCAGUGUGAGGAGGUGGAGACAUUGUGCAGUCCCUUUAGAAGCUGGAGUUUGGGAGGCAGUGUGAGGAGGUGGAGACAUUGUGCAGUCCCUUUAGAAGCUGGAGUUUGGGAGGCAGUGUGAGGAGGUGGAGACAUUGUGCAGUCCCUUUAGAAGCUGGAGUUUGGGAGGCAGUGUGAGGAGGUGGAGACAUUGUGCAGUCCCUUUAGAAGCUGGAGUUUGGGAGGCAGUGUGAGGAUGUGGAAACAUUGUGCACUUCUUGUGGAGGCUAGAUUUUGGAAGGCAUUUUCAGGAGGUGGAGAUUAUGUGCCAUCCUUGUAGAUGCUGGAGUUCGGGAGGCAGUGUGACGAGGGUGGAGGGUUUGUACAGUCGCUGUAGAGGGUGGACCUUGGGAGGCAGUGUGAGCAGGUGGAG